GUGAGUAAUACAUCGGAACGUGCCCAGUUGUGGGGGAUAGCCCGGCGAAAGCCGGAUUAAUACCGCAUACGACCUACGGGUGAAAGCGGGGGAUCGCAAGACCUCGCGCUAUUGGAGCGGCCGAUGUCGGAUUAGCUAGUUGGUAAGGUAAAGGCUCACCAAGGCGACGAUCUGUAGCGGGUCUGAGAGGAUGAUCCGCCACACUGGAACUGAGACACGGUCCAGACUCCUACGGGAGGCAGCAGUGGGGAAUUUUGGACAAUGGGGGCAACCCUGAUCCAGCCAUUCCGCGUGAGUGAAGAAGGCCUUCGGGUUGUAAAGCUCUUUCGGCAGGAACGAAACGGCGAGCUCUAACAUAGCUCGCUAAUGACGGUACCUGAAGAAGAAGCACCGGCUA
RNAcentral lists this ribosomal RNA (397 nucleotides) under uncultured bacterium. Its description in RNAcentral is "bacterial SSU rRNA". It matches the Rfam family "Bacterial small subunit ribosomal RNA", at positions 106 to 499 of the family's 1533-position model. The record is from RNAcentral.